UGUCCAGACACGCCGGCGUGUGAUUUCACAUUGUUUUGAGCAAAUUGCAGCUUCUGAUGAUGGGAAUCUAAUUCCCACCGUGCUCGUGGAGGGAGGGGUAGAAAGAGGAGGGAACCGUUACCGAGGCAGCAGCCGUCCUGUGGCAUGGCAGCGCGUGUGCCUGCGUGGUGCCACUCAUGCAGACACUUCCACAUGCGCCCGCACACGUCCAGGGAGGGGGCAUCCUAAUACACCAAAUUGCUGAUACACAUCACUCAGAAGAGGAACAACAACCAUAUUUAGCUGCAGUGUGUACAUGGCCUUUGAGAGACACUAGUGGUACACCGUGGAGCUGUCCCAUAACCUGAUCCCUGUGCUGCCACUCACCUGGGAGGCGUGCUGCUCAGUGAUAAUGGCAGUGGGAGAGCCAGAAGCGGCUAUCCGCCUCCGGUGAUGCUGAAAUGGGAUUUGGGCUGUGUUCGGGCGGAAGAGGUUAUUACGGAUCAGGGGGGCCUGGUUUUGAAGCGGAGCUGAACUGGGCCGCGGUACAACUACAACCGCUGGGAUGUCUGUUAGCUUUCCUCACUAACAAUAGCAGAUAAGACAAAAGUGGUUGUUUGCCGUCUCUCUCUUACACACUGGCCCAUUAAAGGUGUGCUGUUAUCUGAUAAGCCGUGAGGGGUGUGAUCACCUACACACACAAAUACACACCUCCAGUCUCUCAUUCAGGUGCUCACUUAUGACCUCAAACCUGUCUCACUCGGUCCACGGUGCAACCACUGAAAGAGAGAGAAACUAGGGUUGUUUUGUGGCUCUGUUUUUUCCCCGUUGUUUUGCUCCCGUGCAAGUACUCUCCCAGCUUAUUUUCCUUUAUUCUUAUCGUUCCAUCUGGCUGCUAGUCACACAUUAAUCUAAAUUCCAAACAGGGUUCCUCCAGUGGCGUUAUCAACUCGCCGUUGAUGUGAGCGUUGGCCCAGGAGAGGGGACGCGGGCAGAGGGGGGAAAAAACAACACACAGCACAACAAAUUGAUGUGGAUGUGGGAGUGAGUGAGUGAGUGAGUGAGAAAGAGAGAGCUUGCAUGCAUGCUUGACUAUUGUACAAAGCUGCAUCAUGACUUCAGUACAGGUGUGAGACUUAAUCACAGGUAUAAAACUUUUCUCAGAAGACUGUCUCUAUAUAAUUCGCAUUAUAUAUUCCCACUGCACGUUUGUCUAUAAAUAUAUUACAUUGUUGUCCACUUCUGAUGGUGUAGAACCAGGAUUGUUUAAACGG
This is a long non-coding RNA of Ctenopharyngodon idella (grass carp), 1253 nucleotides long. RefSeq lists it as uncharacterized. The record is from RefSeq and is a predicted model, not a curated record. The transcript is spliced from 3 exons. Lineage: Eukaryota; Metazoa; Chordata; Actinopteri; Cypriniformes; Xenocyprididae.